CUCCUUCAGUGAAGCGUUUGGGUAUGCAAAUGCCGUGCUCCUCUCUCCCGCCGUUCGCGGGCUACCGAGCGUCCUGAGAGCUCACUUGGUGUUACAGACAUAACCGUGGUGGCUUCUCAACCAGCUCGCUGUGACGGCAUCAAACACCAGGACUCAAACCCGGGACCUUUGGAUCCAGUCACUCUUCUGGCACUGGGAGUACCGCCUCCAGAAUAGACUACCAACUGUGGAGUCCAGUGUGAAUUCCUCAAAGCCUUCAUCUUCCUCCUCCUCCUCACCGUCCACGGCCAGGUCCUCCAGCAGAUGGUCAGUCUCCUCUGUGUCGGGGUCCACACUCUGCAAAGGCUGCCCUGUCUGAUGUAGCAGAUAGUCCA
Esox lucius (northern pike) is the source of this 374-nucleotide long non-coding RNA. NCBI's taxonomy places the organism in Eukaryota, Metazoa, Chordata, Actinopteri, Esociformes, Esocidae. The record is from Ensembl.